Non-coding RNA from Equus caballus (horse), 329 nucleotides. Lineage: Eukaryota; Metazoa; Chordata; Mammalia; Perissodactyla; Equidae. The record is from Rfam.
GGAUGUGAGGGUGAUCUGGCUGUGAGAUCUGUCACCCCAUUGAUUCCAGGGUUGAUUCGGCUGAUCUGGCUGACUAGAUGGGUGUCCACUUCCUCCCUCACUGCUCCAUGUAUGUCCCUCCUGAAGCUUCACCCUUGGUCCAAGAAGAUGACCUUCCCUGAUAGAGGAGGCCUGUUCUUCAGUCAAGGGAAUACGAAAGCUGCGCUCCCCUGCUAGCACCUCCAAACAAGCUCUCAUGGUCCCUUUGUAGGAGAACGGAGGGUAGUCAAGCUUCCAAGACUCCAGACACGUCCAAACAAGGCACUUUACGUGGCAGUCUGCCUUGCUUG